AUUGCCUUACUACGGCGAGUGAAGCGGCAAAAGCUCAAAUUUGAAAUCUAGCACUUUCAGUGUUCGAGUUGUAAUUUGAAGAAGGUAACUUUGGAAUUGGCUCUUGUCUAUGUUCCUUGGAACAGGACGUCACAGAGGGUGAGAAUCCCGUGCGAUGAGAUGUCCAAUUCUAUGUAAAGUGCUUUCGAAGAGUCGAGUUGUUUGGGAAUGCAGCUCUAAGUGGGUGGUAAAUUCCAUCUAAAGCUAAAUAUUGGCGAGAGACCGAUAGCGAACAAGUACAGUGAUGGAAAGAUGAAAAGAACUUUGAAAAGAGAGUGAAAAAGUACGUGAAAUUGUUGAAAGGGAAGGGCUUGAGAUCAGACUUGGUAUUUUGUGUUCCUUAUUCUUUUUGGAUUUGGUUCCUCACAGCUUACCGGGCCAGCAUCGGUUUGGAUGGUAGGAUAAUGACAUUGGAAUGUAGCUUUGCUUCGGUGAAGUGUUAUAGACUUUGUUGAUACUGCCUAUCUAGACCGAGGACUGCGUCUUUGACUAGGAUGCUGGCGUAAUGAUCUUAAGCCGCCCGUCUUGAACACGGAACCAA
RNAcentral lists this ribosomal RNA (580 nucleotides) under Dujonia zeylanoides. Its description in RNAcentral is "[Candida] zeylanoides partial large subunit ribosomal RNA". It matches the Rfam family "Eukaryotic large subunit ribosomal RNA", at positions 74 to 670 of the family's 3401-position model. Lineage: Eukaryota; Fungi; Ascomycota; Pichiomycetes; Serinales; Debaryomycetaceae. The record is from RNAcentral.